UACGGGGGGGGCAAGCGUUGUUCGGAAUUACUGGGCGUAAAGGGCUCGUAGGUGGCCAUCUAAGUCGGACGUGAAAUCCCUCAGCUUAACUGGGGAACUGCGUCCGAUACUGGAUGGCUCGAGUUUGGGAGAGGGAUGCGGAAUUCCAGGUGUAGCGGUGAAAUGCGUAGAUAUCUGGAGGAACACCGGUGGCGAAGGCGGCAUCCUGGACCGGCAUUGACGCUGAGGCGCGAAAGCCAGGGGAGCAAACGGG
Molecule: ribosomal RNA, 253 nt
Filed under: uncultured bacterium
Lineage: Bacteria
Description: partial 16S ribosomal RNA
Rfam family: Bacterial small subunit ribosomal RNA
Source: RNAcentral